CGGAGAGCCAGCUCGAUCAGCAUGCAGCCUCGGAGGCCGGACGAAAUGCAGUCGUUCCAGAAGGACGUGUAGCCCUGAGGAGAAGGAGGGGAGGGAGGAAUUACAGCAGAGAAAAAGGUCAUCUGCGCUCCCUCUGACGGCGAUGGAGAUCUGGGGUGAACGAGGAGCCUGCGAUGGCUCCCCUGAGCUUUCACGGAGGCCCCCCAUAUUGGAGCCAUUUCCUGUCUCGGGAGUGGGCAAAAGGCUUGACCCCAGGUGCCCCCUCCCUGUGGCCCGAGAGGAAGUCUGGAACAAUGGGACCCCUCCUCAGGUCCCGCGUGCCGCCGCCGAGCAACCCGACGUACAUGUAAGCCACACGUGUGUUUCAUGUUGGCCGGUGCACAGACAUGCGUGCGGUCCAGACGCA
Molecule: long non-coding RNA, 406 nt
Organism: Syngnathoides biaculeatus (alligator pipefish)
Lineage: Eukaryota; Metazoa; Chordata; Actinopteri; Syngnathiformes; Syngnathidae
Exons: 3
Source: RefSeq, a predicted model, not a curated record